GUACACACCGCCCGUCGCUGCUACCGAUUGAAUGUCUUAGUGAGUUGCAGGGAGCGUGCCGCGCGGGGCGACUCGCGCGGCGGCGCGAACUGUAUCAAACUUGCACAUUUAGAGGAAGCAAAAGUCGUAACAAGGUUUCCGUAGGUGAACCUGCAGAAGGAUCA
This 164-nucleotide ribosomal RNA is filed under the name uncultured eukaryote. Its description in RNAcentral is "partial small subunit ribosomal RNA". It matches the Rfam family "Eukaryotic small subunit ribosomal RNA", at positions 1662 to 1828 of the family's 1831-position model. The record is from RNAcentral.